GCAGGAGUAGCGAAGUGGUCUAACGCGCAAGCUUCAGAGGCUUGUCCCUUAGUGGGUUCCCAGGUUCGAAUCCUGGCCCCUGCA
This 84-nucleotide transfer RNA is filed under the name Nanobdellota archaeon. RNAcentral's name for it is "tRNA-Leu". It matches the Rfam family "tRNA". Rfam says of the family: Transfer RNA (tRNA) molecules are approximately 80 nucleotides in length. Lineage: Archaea; Nanobdellati; Nanobdellota. The record is from RNAcentral.